Oncorhynchus keta (chum salmon) is the source of this 944-nucleotide long non-coding RNA. RefSeq lists it as uncharacterized. The record is from RefSeq and is a predicted model, not a curated record. The transcript has 4 exons. Lineage: Eukaryota; Metazoa; Chordata; Actinopteri; Salmoniformes; Salmonidae.
CACAGCAGGGGUUAAAGGUAGAAUCAGUAAUAUUACAUCAUUAUACAGGCGUCCAUACAGAUCCUCCACCUAGAACACAGCAGGGGUUAAAGGUAGAAUCAGUAAUAUUACAUCAUUAUACAGGCGUCCAUACAGAUCCUCCACCUAGAACACAGCAGGGGUUAAAGGUAGAAUCAGUAAUAUUACAUCAUUAUACAGGCGUCCAUACAGAUCCUCCACCUAGAACACAGCAGGGGUUAAAGGUAGAAUUAGUAAUAUUACAUCAUUAUACAGGCGUCCAUACAGAUCCUCAGCCUAGAACACAGCAGGGGUUAAAGGUAGAAUCAGUAAUAUUACAUCAUUAUACAGGCGUCCAUACAGAUCCUCCACCUAGAACACAGCAGGGGUUAAAGGUAGAAUCAGUAAUAUUACAUCAUUAUACAGGCGUCCAUACAGAUCCUCCACCUAGAACACAGCAGGGGUUAAAGGUAGAAUCAGUAAUAUUACAUCAUUAUACAGGCGUCCAUACAGAUCCUCAGCCUAGAACACAGCAGGGGUUAAAGGUAGAAUCAGUAAUAUUACAUCAUUAUACAGGCGUCCAUACAGAUCCUCCACCUAGAACACAGCAGGGGUUAAAGGUAGAAUCAGUAAUAUUACAUCAUUAUACAGGCGUCCAUACAGAUCCUCAGCCUAGAACACAGCAGGGGUUAAAGGUAGAAUCAGUAAUAUUACAUCAUUAUACAGGCGUCCAUACAGAUCCUCCACCUAGAACACAGCAGGGGUUAAAGGUAGAAUCAGUAAUAUUACAUCAUUAUACAGGCGUCCAUACAGAUCCUCCACCUAGAAAACAGCAGGGGUUAAAGGUAGAAUCAGCAAUCUAUUACAGUGAUGUGCCUCCCUGCUUACAGAAAUGUUGUUAUUAAUGUCAGGAGACAAGAGGAUCUGGAAACAGGGCUAUAAUGAUG